RNAcentral lists this ribosomal RNA (438 nucleotides) under Triticum aestivum (bread wheat). RNAcentral's name for it is "partial small subunit ribosomal RNA". The record is from RNAcentral. Lineage: Eukaryota; Viridiplantae; Streptophyta; Magnoliopsida; Poales; Poaceae.
AUGAGUUCCUUGCCCUGUGGAUGCAAGUCACGGACAUUCAUCUUGACUGAGAUGCCACAGACUCAAUCUCCCGGUCUUGGGAAACUAGUGGUGACUUCUCUACCAAGACAACAUACAUGGCGAAGUUUUGGAGAAGACAAGUGUUGCCCAGGCCUGCCUUCACUUCGAAAGCAAGGGCCCCGUUGCAGUGCCAUUUUUUUUGCAUGGCUUGCACUUCUAACAGAUGUUGGACUUCCGACCGCCUGGCAUGCCGUGGCUUGGAUCAUCAGGAGAGUUGCCCUUUCUAUGCAUGGGAGAGGAGAAAACAAUCGAACACAUACUGCUUUAAUGUGUCAUCGCAAGGGAGGCGUGGACCAUCAUAUGUCGAGCUCUAGGCAAAAUGGAUUGGGUACCAGAGAUAGGAUCAAAGUUGGUGGAUUGAUGCACAAACAAGCUUAG